AGAGCCAGUUGGGCCCCAGUGGUCAGAGCCUCAGGCGAUCCUGUCGGUGUGUGGCAUCCUCCCUGGCGAGAGGAGAAGCACUGAUUCCAUCCUCCGCCCUCUGGAGUCUGAAUGCUGAAGUCUCUCCGGCUUCUUGUGACAAUUUAUGUAGCAGCCCUUGCUAACGAUACGUGUACGACGCAUAGUGUGAGCGGUGCCCCUCAGCUGGUCUCAAGGACAAACACCCACCAGACCCUCCACCCUCAGCCUGCUGUCACCCAAUUAAUUCUUUAUCUCUCUGCAUUCGAAAGGCAGUCUAUGGGUAUGUUCUCGAAUGGCCUCAGAAAUUACUAAAAGCGUGAAACUCUCCCUACUUAGCUCCAGCACCCACCUUAGGAGAACUGGGGACAUCUCCUCAGCCAGGUUUCUUCUCUCCCUUCAUCUCCAACGGUGAAUUGAUUGGCCUUGACAAACAUCACUCUUACCAGCCAUGAGAUUUGUUAAUAGAAACAGAAAAAAUUUAACAGCACAUCAGCUACGAAGGGAAUUGGAGCCAAAGUCUUCCCGGUGCCCUGGGGAAAGGAGUCGCUGAUCAAGUGACAUUCCUCUUGCCGCCUCUGUCGUGGGCAGGAGGACGGGCGGCGUGCCCAUCGGCAGAUCCUUGGAGGUCUUCUUAUCGGUUGUCAUCUC
RNAcentral lists this long non-coding RNA (669 nucleotides) under Vombatus ursinus (common wombat). RNAcentral's name for it is "lncRNA (ENSVURG00010014429.1)". Lineage: Eukaryota; Metazoa; Chordata; Mammalia; Diprotodontia; Vombatidae. The record is from RNAcentral.